UGGGGUGUAGCUCAGUGGUAGAGCACUUCCCCAGCAUACUCAAAUCUCUGGGUUCAAUCCCCAGCACCAUAA
This 72-nucleotide transfer RNA is filed under the name Heterocephalus glaber (naked mole-rat). It matches the Rfam family "tRNA". Rfam says of the family: Transfer RNA (tRNA) molecules are approximately 80 nucleotides in length. Their secondary structure includes four short double-helical elements and three loops (D, anti-codon, and T loops). Further hydrogen bonds mediate the characteristic L-shaped molecular structure. tRNAs have two regions of fundamental functional importance: the anti-codon, which is responsible for specific mRNA codon recognition, and the 3' end, to which the tRNAs corresponding amino acid is attached (by aminoacyl-tRNA synthetases). tRNAs cope with the degeneracy of the genetic code in two manners: having more than one tRNA (with a specific anti-codon) for a particular amino acid; and 'wobble' base-pairing, i.e. permitting non-standard base-pairing at the 3rd anti-codon position. Lineage: Eukaryota; Metazoa; Chordata; Mammalia; Rodentia; Bathyergidae. The record is from Rfam by way of RNAcentral.